UACGCAGGGGGCGAGCGUUGUUCGGAAUUACUGGGCGUAAAGGGCGCGUAGGCGGCGAACCAAGUCAGAUGUGAAAGUCCUGGGCUUAACCUGGGGACUGCAUUUGAUACUGGUUUGCUUGAAUUCGGGAGAGGAUAGCGGAAUUCCCAGUGUAGAGGUGAAAUUCGUAGAUAUUGGGAAGAACACCGGUGGCGAAGGCGGCUAUCUGGACCGACAUUGACGCUGAGGUGCGAAAGCGUGGGGAGCAAACAGG
RNAcentral lists this ribosomal RNA (253 nucleotides) under uncultured bacterium. RNAcentral describes it as "partial 16S ribosomal RNA". It matches the Rfam family "Bacterial small subunit ribosomal RNA", at positions 524 to 776 of the family's 1533-position model. The record is from RNAcentral.